AGAGUUUGAUCCUGGCUCAGAACGAACGCUGGCGGCAGGCUUAACACAUGCAAGUCGAACGAGUAAGAGCCGUAGCAAUACGGAGUUCUGCUAGUGGCGCACGGGUGAGUAACGCGUGGGAAUAUGCCCUUUAGUACGGAAUAACAGUUGGAAACGACUGCUAAUACCGUAUACGCCCUUCGGGGGGAAGAUUUAUCGCUAAAGGAUUAGCCCGCGUGAGAUUAGGUAGUUGGUGGGGUAAUGGCCUACCAAGCCUACGAUCUCUAGCCGGUCUGAGAGGACGAUCGGCCACACUGGAACUGAGACACGGUCCAGACUCCUACGGGAGGCAGCAGUGGGGAAUAUUGGACAAUGGGCGAAAGCCUGAUCCAGCCAUGCCGCGUGAGUGAUGAAGGCCUUAGGGUUGUAAAGCUCUUUUGUCAGGGAAGAUAUUGACGGUACCUGAAGAAUAAGCACCGGCUAACUUCGUGCCAGCAGCCGCGGUAAUACGAAGGGUGCUAGCGUUGUUCGGAAUUACUGGGCGUAAAGCGCGCGCAGGCGGUCUAUCAAGUCAGAGGUGAAAUGCCGAAGCUCAACUUCGGAACUGCCUUUGAAACUGUUAGACUAGAAUAUGGGAGGGGAUAGCGGAAUUCCUAAUGUAGAGGUGAAAUUCGUAGAUAUUAGGAGGAACACCGGUGGCGAAGGCGGCUAUCUGGCCCAUUAUUGACGCUGAGGCGCGAAAGCGUGGGGAUCAAACAGGAUUAGAUACCCUGGUAGUCCACGCUGUAAACGAUGAGUGCUAGCUGUUGGGACCUUAGGUCUCAGUGGCGCAGCUAACGCAUUAAGCACUCCGCCUGGGGAGUACGGUCGCAAGAUUAAAACUCAAAGGAAUUGACGGGGACCCGCACAAGCGGUGGAGCAUGUGGUUUAAUUCGAGGCAACGCGAAGAACCUUACCAGGACUUGACAUGUCCAGUUUGGAUUUCAGAAAUGAUUUCCUUCAGUUUGGCUGGCUGGAACACAGGUGCUGCAUGGCUGUCGUCAGCUCGUGUCGUGAGAUGUUGGGUUAAGUCCCGCAACGAGCGCAACCCUCAUCUUUAGUUGCUACCAUUUAGUUGAGCACUCUAAAGAAACUGCCGGUGAUAAGCCGGAGGAAGGUGGGGAUGACGUCAAGUCUUCAUGGCCCUUAUGUCCUGGGCUACACACGUGCUACAAUGGCAGUGACAAUGCGCCGCUACCUCGCGAGGGGAAGCUAAUCGCAAAAAGCUGUCUCAGUUCGGAUUGUACUCUGCAACUCGAGUACAUGAAGUUGGAAUCGCUAGUAAUCGCGCAUCAGCAUGGCGCGGUGAAUACGUUCCCGGGUCUUGUACACACCGCCCGUCACACCAUGGGAGUUGGUUCUACCUUAAGCUGCUGUGCUAACCGCAAGGAGGCAGGCAACCACGGUAGGGUCAGUGACUGGGGUGAAGUCGUAACAAGGUA
This 1460-nucleotide ribosomal RNA is filed under the name metagenome. Its description in RNAcentral is "bacterial SSU rRNA". It matches the Rfam family "Bacterial small subunit ribosomal RNA". The record is from RNAcentral.